AGUGAACGCUGGCGGUAGGCCUAACACAUGCAAGUCGAACGGCAGCACAGAGGAGCUUGCUCCUUGGGUGGCGAGUGGCGGACGGGUGAGGAAUACAUCGGAAUCUACUCUGUCGUGGGGGAUAACGUAGGGAAACUUACGCUAAUACCGCAUACGACCUACGGGUGAAAGCAGGGGAUCUUCGGACCUUGCGCGAUUGAAUGAGCCGAUGUCGGAUUAGCUAGUUGGCGGGGUAAAGGCCCACCAAGGCGACGAUCCGUAGCUGGUCUGAGAGGAUGAUCAGCCACACUGGAACUGAGACACGGUCCAGACUCCUACGGGAGGCAGCAGUGGGGAAUAUUGGACAAUGGGCGCAAGCCUGAUCCAGCCAUACCGCGUGGGUGAAGAAGGCCUCGGUUCGGUAAGUACCGUUUACGUUUGGUAAGGUAAAGUACUAACG
This 439-nucleotide ribosomal RNA is filed under the name uncultured bacterium. Its description in RNAcentral is "bacterial SSU rRNA". It matches the Rfam family "Bacterial small subunit ribosomal RNA", at positions 29 to 464 of the family's 1533-position model. The record is from RNAcentral.